GGCAGUUCUUGGGUGACACACCCCAGAAUCGGGCUCCCUCCUCUCUGGUUCCGGGUCCGUCGCCUGAGAAUCGCA
Molecule: non-coding RNA, 75 nt
Organism: Myotis brandtii (Brandt's bat)
Lineage: Eukaryota; Metazoa; Chordata; Mammalia; Chiroptera; Vespertilionidae
Source: Rfam